AUAAUUCCGGUCCAACAUAUUUCCGACAAAGAAAAUGCUGAAAAUUGAUAACCACGCAAGCUGGGGCGCAACAACAAUAAAUCGCAAGUGGCAAGUGGCAUGUGGCAAGCGUAGCAGUGCGCAAAUGUAAAAUGCAGCGAAUAUUCGCAUGUGCAGUGUGAUAAUAAAUAAACGCAGGGUCCAAAAAACGCGAGCGACGACGCAGGGGCAAAGCAAACACAACAACGUCGCAGCAGCGGCAGUAGCAGCGUUUUGGCGGCGGCGGCGCGAGAACACCGUUAAGCAGCAGUCCCAGUGGCCAGGAAGGAGGCAACAUCCUCAUCUAUUAGACACACGCAGCUCUUAUCAUCACACAGUGCGCAUGCGAAUAAGGGGCCACAAGUCGAAGGAACGAAGGUGAAGGAGGACCGGACCGGACAAGACCAGACUAGAGGACCAGACAAAGAGACAGA
Molecule: small RNA, 452 nt
Filed under: Drosophila pseudoobscura pseudoobscura
Lineage: Eukaryota; Metazoa; Arthropoda; Insecta; Diptera; Drosophilidae
Description: GA31038
Source: RNAcentral